GACGAACGCUGGCGGCGUGCUUAACACAUGCAAGUCGAACGGAAAGGCCCUGCUUUUGUGGGGUGCUCGAGUGGCGAACGGGUGAGUAACACGUGAGUAACCCGCCCCUGUCUUUGGGAUAACUUCUGGAAACUGGGGCUAAUACCCGAUAGGAGCUCCUGCUGCACGGUGGGGGUUGGAAAGUUUCGGCGGUUGGGGCUGGACUCGCGGGUUACCGGCUUGUUGGUGGGGUAGUGGCAUACCAAGGGUUUGAAGGGUAGCCGGCCUGGGAGGGGGACCGGGCACAUGAGGACUGAGAUACGGAGCAGACGCCUACGGGAGGCAGCGGGGGGAAGUAUUGCGCAAUGAGCGGAAGCCUGAUACAGAAGCGCCGGGUGCGGGAUGACGGCCUUCGGGUGGUAAACCGCUUUCGCAUGUGACGAGGCGUGAGUGACGGUAAUGGGUAAGGAAGCACCGGCUAACUACGUG
RNAcentral lists this ribosomal RNA (468 nucleotides) under uncultured bacterium. Its description in RNAcentral is "partial 16S ribosomal RNA". It matches the Rfam family "Bacterial small subunit ribosomal RNA", at positions 28 to 507 of the family's 1533-position model. The record is from RNAcentral.